GGAGGACAGAGGUUUUCAGGGGGCUGCUACCAGUCCCACUGCUUGAUGAGCAGCCAGCCAUGGAAAGCGCCUCUCGCACAAUUUUCUCAUUCUCACUGACUCGAGAGUUUCAGAAAAACAUCUGGGCUGCAUGACAUCAACCCAUCAUUGUUAUCACGGCCAUUGUCAGGGUCACAUUGUCACCACUGCCUCCGUGAGACCUGUGGUGGGAGCUGAUAUGAUCUUUGAGUCCAUCAAGGCCAAAGUCGCCCAGACUUCCUGCUGUUGAAGAUCAGAGGACUUGGCUAUGCAAAGAGCGCUGCCUGGGUUCGAAUGCUGGCUUGUUCUACCAGCUGCCCAGGACACCUACAGCACUGCAGCAGGUGUGGCGUAACCUGCUGCCAUGUAGAAUUGAGGACAUCGUAUUUUCAUGAGGUACCCCAAGCAGCCACCCACCUCCUUCCUUCGUCAUAUUCUCCCACUGGAUGGGUGCGGAGUAAGGGCAGUUGGGGCGUGCAGCUUUAUGAGGCUGGAAAAUCUUGCUGUGCUUUCAGAGAGCCAAGUCUUAUCUCUCCGGGAGGUGCAUGGUGUGGGCCACUCACUGGGGGACAGGCCAGUGGGUUGGCUGCAGGACAAAGCUAUUUGGAUCCUGAGAAUCCAAUGACAACUCCACAGAAUCACGUGGAGGGUUCACUAUGA
This 678-nucleotide long non-coding RNA is filed under the name Fukomys damarensis (Damara mole-rat). RNAcentral describes it as "lncRNA (ENSFDAG00000022922.1)". Lineage: Eukaryota; Metazoa; Chordata; Mammalia; Rodentia; Bathyergidae. The record is from RNAcentral.